UAAGCUUUCUUCAUGUCUCAACGAAGCUGACUGUAGAAGAUACUUCCAACAACUUAUUGAUGUGUAAAUUAUUACCAUAGUAAAGGUGUUUAUCAUAGAGAUUUAAAGCCUGAAAAUCUUUUACUUGAUUCACAAGGAAAUAUUAAAAUUUCAGAUUUUGGUUUGAGUGCAUUUCCAGAACAGGAACUGUUUGGCUUGAGAAUGCAUCCAAUUCGUCAUCUCUCGAGUGUUUUAAUGGUGAUUCUGAGUCCAAUGAAGAAGGUCAGUCUUUGUCCAAUAGCAGGAUGAAUGAGGAAGAUGAUGAUGCCACUAAAGAAUUGCAGCCUGCUGAUCCUAACGAACCAGGUGUUUAGAGUACCAUUUAACCAUUUAAAGACACAUGAUGGAAAUGAAAUUAGGGAACUUAGGUGAGAAAAAAGUAGAAAUUACUGUUGAAAAAAGAGAGAAUUCAUCUCAAAGUUGCUUACUUGGCUGGUUGAUUUUGAUGUUUAGCUUGGUCAAUCAGUUCUAGUGUUAUGAGUUGAUUUUUAUUUAUCAGAAUUUUAGUUAUCUUUAUUCUGAUAAACUUUUUGGACGUUGAAUCACAAUGUAACUAACAUUAUUUUCUCAAUUUUGGUGAUUGUUUUAUAGGCUGGUUUGUCCCUGAUAGA
This is a non-coding RNA of Vigna umbellata (rice bean), 650 nucleotides long. NCBI's taxonomy places the organism in Eukaryota, Viridiplantae, Streptophyta, Magnoliopsida, Fabales, Fabaceae. The record is from RefSeq and is a predicted model, not a curated record.